This 531-nucleotide ribosomal RNA is filed under the name uncultured bacterium. Its description in RNAcentral is "bacterial SSU rRNA". It matches the Rfam family "Bacterial small subunit ribosomal RNA", at positions 62 to 641 of the family's 1533-position model. The record is from RNAcentral.
UCGAACGCACCUUCGGGUGAGUGGCGGACGGGUGAGUAACACGUGGGAACGUGCCCUUUGGUUCGGAAUAAUCCGGGGAAACCUGGCCUAAUACCGAAUGUGCCCUACGGGGGAAAGAUUUAUCGCCAUUGGAGCGGCCCGCGUCUGAUUAGCUAGUUGGUGGGGUAAAGGCCCACCAAGGCGACGAUCAGUAGCUGGUCUGAGAGGAUGAUCAGCCACACUGGGACUGAGACACGGCCCAGACUCCUACGGGAGGCAGCAGUAGGGAAUCUUGCGCAAUGGGCGAAAGCCUGACGCAGCCAUGCCGCGUGAAUGAUGAAGGUCUUAGGAUUGUGAAAUUCUUUCAGCGGGGAAGAUAAUGACGGUACCCGCAGAAGAAGCCCCGGCUAACUUCGUGCCAGCAGCCGCGGUAAUACGAAGGGGGCUAGCGUUGCUCGGAAUUACUGGGCGUAAAGGGCGCGUAGGCGGGUGUCUAAGUCAGAGGUUAAAUCCCAGGGCUCAACCCUGGAACUGCCUUUGAUACUGGACACC